AUGGAGGGGCACCUGAAGGAGGGAAAGCUAUCAGAGGAGAAAAUACGAUCAUUAGCAGAAAAGCUGGAAAAGGACAUGGUGGAGUACCAAAGGAGGCUUCAGGAAACUGUUGAUGAGAAAAUCAGGGCGGACAGAGAGAAACAGGAGGCACAGGAGCAGAUUAGCAAACUUCACUCAGAGUUGGUACGGGCACAGUCUAGUAACGCAAAUCUUCACCAAGAGAGUCGGCUGGUCUUGAGAAAUGUUCAUCUUUGGAUCACUGAGCAAAGGACUUCCUGUGAGAUCCUGCUGACCCAAAUGAAGGCCCAAAACCAGAAGCUGCUUAUUGAUGCUGCAGAAAUAACACACCUCCGGGAGGCUAAUGACACGUUGAAGGCGGAGAUGGGGAAACUAAAACAAGCGCUGGAUGAGAAGGAGCGAGACCCGGAAUGCUUCCAGGCUCAGAUCCGAGACCGGAGCAUGGGAGAAGACGGGAGAAAAAUGUCCUCUCACCGCAUUGGAAAGAAAAGUUGUGUUGCUCGAAACCUCAACAAAAUCGAGGACGUUCAUUCCAGACUGCAAAGCAACCAAGAGGCCAUCGGCAUGCUAAAUCAACAAGUAAGAUUGAACGUACACACACACACACACACACACACACACACACACACACCAGGUCCUGACGGUCCUUUUACCCGACAGAUACAAACACAAACCCACACACCAGCCCACCUGCUGUUGAGCUCACACAGAAGAGGAAGCUUUCAAGCGUCCAACUUCAAACACGCGAGUGCACUUACACAGAGACACACGCAUACAUCCAUUUCCUCUUCCUACGAUAAAAGUGAAGUCUGCAGCAGGAAGGGGGGACGCGCGAGCGGCGUGGGGAAUGGGGGAACAAAUCGUAUCGGGAAAAAGCAGUGACGUUUCUUUUCUCUGGUAAAUGAUUUCCCUUUCAUGAAACUCGGAGAAAGAUGUAUAUCAAUACAGCCGCGCUGAUCUCUCCGUGACAGCGUAGGGAAAUGGCCCGCUGUGAUAAAACAAUGUGGGGGAAAAAAACACAGAGGAAUAUUCUCAAGAAAUGCUGACAUUUUUUUUUUUUUUACUGCGUUGAACUUCACAGGAGUCAACAAAUCACCAAAGGAGGGAGGAAUCAAAAGUACUCCUCAGCCCCCUCAGUUCUCCAAAACUCCAGGGCCCGGGGAAAUGGCUCACCCGACUUCUGUUAGUUUGUUAGAGUGGCCCGCUGAUUGACGGGCUGCGAGGAAAGCUGGCGCUUGUUGAAGUUUUUAAUGUUGACAUCAGUUGCAUGGGUUGAGACAGAGGAGCGUGCAGCACAGGAAGCAACAGACAGAGGGGAAGAGGAGGGUGCUGUUUAGCAGGUCAGGUGUGUAAUAGCACCUCUUAAUCUCAAGUCUGAAUCGUUACAUCGAUCCAACACGGACGAUCCACACACACACACACACACACACACACACACACACACACACACACACACACACACACACACACAGUCUGGAGACGAUGGGAUGAAAAAAUUUCACUGUCCACUGGACACUCAAUCCCUAGCCACACAUUCGGAAAUCAGCAACGAAGUUGAAUAAAUUUGUACGCGAGGCUCCGAGUGAUUAAUUGGCUCUCUGUCUUUUUGCAUCAGUCCCCUUUACUUCUUAAAAACAGGUUCCCUUUCAUCCACAGAAGCUGCAGAAACAAACACCACACACACACACACACACACACACACACACACACACACACACAUCAUUUCCUUUUUGCCGUCAAGUUAAUUUCAUGCAAACCUUUGAAAUGUCACACAAAUUUAACUGAGAUGAUGGCGAACAACAUCAGAAGAGGAAAACGUGAUGCUACCAGGAUUUGAUUAGGAUUAAACUCGUGUUCUUUAUCAAAUGUCCAGGUUAUUUCAUGCUGAGAUGAAAGACAAUGGAUUAGGUGAUGCUUCUUCACACCUUUGGCUUCAAAAUGCAAGGGUGGCUGAUGAUUCAAAUGCUUUUUGUUCCAACACAUUCUUAUUUUUGCCAAAUGAAGACUCGUGCAUUGUUUAGUUCUAUUCUAAAUGUUAAAAAACUGCAUGCAUUUCAUUAUUUUAGGAUUUAGGGUGUAUAAAUGUAUUUAAUUUAUUCUUUAUUUAACUAGGAAGGUCCCAUUGAGAUUAAACACCUCAUUUUCAAGGGAGUCCUACAUACACACACACACACACACAUAUAUAUACACAGUAAACUCCAGUUAAUGUUCAGAUUAUAA
Nothobranchius furzeri (turquoise killifish) is the source of this 2238-nucleotide long non-coding RNA. The record is from Ensembl. Lineage: Eukaryota; Metazoa; Chordata; Actinopteri; Cyprinodontiformes; Nothobranchiidae.